UAAUACCCUAAUAUUAUGAUAAUAGGGCAUCCUAUAAUUAUGAAAGCUAUAUGCGCUGUGAGAGAGCUUUGCGUCCCAUUAGCUAGUUGGAGAGGUAACGGCUCACCAAGGCGAUGAUGGGUAGCCGGCCUGAGAGGGUGAUCGGCCACAAGGGGACUGAGACACGGCCCUUACUCCUACGGGAGGCAGCAGUGGGGAAUAUUGGACAAUGGACCGGGAGUCUGAUCCAGCAAUUCUGUGUGCACGAUGAAGUUUUUCGGAAUGUAAAGUGCUUUCAGUUGGGAAGAAAGAAAUGACGGUACCAACAGAAGAAGUGACGGCUAAAUACGUGCCAGCAGCCGCGGUAAUACGUAUGUCACGAGCGUUAUCCGGAUUUAUUGGGCGUAAAGCGCGUCUAGGUGGUUAUAUAAGUCUGAUGUGAAAAUGCAGGGCUCAACUCUGUAUUGCGUUGGAAACUGUAUAACUAGAGUACUGGAGAGGUAAGCGGAACUACAAGUGUAGAGGUGAAAUUCGUAGAUAUUUGUAGGAAUGCCGAUGGGGAAGCCAGCUUACUGGACAGAUACUGACGCUGAAGCGCGAAAGCGUGGGUAGCAAACAGGAUUAGAUACCCUGGUAGUCCACGCUGUAAACGAUGAUUACUAGGUGUUGGGGGUCGAACCUCAGCGCCCAAGCAAACGCGAUAAGUAAUCCGCCUGGGGAGUACGUACGCAAGUAUGAAACUCAAAGGAAUUGACGGU
This 737-nucleotide ribosomal RNA is filed under the name uncultured bacterium. RNAcentral describes it as "bacterial SSU rRNA". It matches the Rfam family "Bacterial small subunit ribosomal RNA", at positions 164 to 917 of the family's 1533-position model. The record is from RNAcentral.